UAUUUUGAUGUUAUAUUAGCAUUCCUGUUGCUGAUUUUCUGUCUCGAGGGAAAAAGUUAUUCAGGAGAGUAUGUUGAUCUUGGUUCAUAAUCCAUCUCCAUUAAUCUAAUUUAGUUGUUAAAUACAAAGGUAAUUUUCUAUGUCAUAGUUUUAGUCAACCUAAAUUUUUCCUACUUUCUUUAAGUGUGGUCAUCAGGUCUAAGAGAAAUAGGGGUUACUCUCGUUCCUUUUUCGCAGAAAAACUGCCGCAUAAUCUAUGUUUGCAUUGGAAUGUGGUGGUGCUCACUUCGGGCAUUGUUUGGGAACUGACUUUGGCUGCUUUUUCUUAGGGACACAGCAGGUCAGGAGAGAUUCAACAGCAUUACCUCAGCUUAUUACAGAAGUGCCAAGGGGAUCAUAUUAGUAUAUGAUAUCACUAAGAAGGAGACGUUUGAUGAUUUGCCGAAAUGGAUGAAGAUGAUUGAUAAGUAUGCUUCAGAAGAUGCAGAGCUUCUCUUAGUUGG
RNAcentral lists this small RNA (503 nucleotides) under Pongo abelii (Sumatran orangutan). Its description in RNAcentral is "retained intron". The record is from RNAcentral. Lineage: Eukaryota; Metazoa; Chordata; Mammalia; Primates; Hominidae.